CUUGUAGAGCUGCCAGUCGUAGGAGAUGGACUCCGUGAAGCGCUCCACGGCGUCCGUGACGCCCUCCUCGAAGCGCCCGCCCCAAAGCUUCGUCUCCUUCUUCUCGUCGCCAUCCGAGUUCGCCACCGAAGUGGAGGCGGCCGCGACGGAAGGAAAAGCGGCGCUGCGGCCCCGGAGGGCGACGCGACAGGCGGAGAGGGCGGCGAGGCGGUCGCCGGGGAGGGAGGCGGGCGCCCGGAAGAUUAGGGAUUGAGAGGUGAAGGCCAUAGGGGGCGUCGCGCCGUUGUUUGACGCGGCGGCGCGGUAGGUGGUGGCCUGGUGGGUUACUGGGUUUAAGCGAAAUGCGAUUGUGUUACGUAGAACGGUCACAAUGAAGGUGCAGU
This 383-nucleotide long non-coding RNA is filed under the name Setaria viridis. Its description in RNAcentral is "long non-coding RNA (SVIR_LNC011328)". Lineage: Eukaryota; Viridiplantae; Streptophyta; Magnoliopsida; Poales; Poaceae. The record is from RNAcentral.